Molecule: non-coding RNA, 227 nt
Organism: Cinara cedri
Lineage: Eukaryota; Metazoa; Arthropoda; Insecta; Hemiptera; Aphididae
Source: the annotation of a GenBank genome assembly
UGUGUUAUAAAAGAUCCCACGGAGAAAGAGACCUAUGUAGGAAGGCCGAAACAGCGAUGGAUCGAUAAAAGCUAAAAGGAAUUUGAACAGCUCGGAUUUCCGACUUAGGUGAUGUGGCUCAAUAAGAUAAAUCAAAAGAAGACUGUUUCACAGCCACGGGCCUUAAUGGCCUUUAAAAUAUUUGAUAAUUGAGAUAGUUAGCUGACUGUGCGACAGUGGGUAUGCUU